UUGCUUUCGGGCAACACGAGUGGCGCACGGGUGAGUAACGCGUACGCAACCUACCUUUAUCAGGGGGAUACACACGGGAAACUGUGGAUAAUCCCGCAUACAAUUUACUGAUGGCAUCAUUGGUAGAUAAAAGAGAGAUCGGAUAGAGAUGGGCGUGCGUCUGAUUAGCUAGUUGGUGAGGUAACGGCUCACCAAGGCGACGAUCAGUAGGGGGCGUGAGAGCGUGAUCCCCCACACGGGUACUGAGACACGGACCCGACUCCUACGGGAGGCAGCAGUAAGGAAUAUUGGUCAAUGGGAGGAAUCCUGAACCAGCCAUGCCGCGUGCGGGAAGAAGGCCCUUCGGGUUGUAAACCGCUUUUGUCAGGGAAGAAUGACGGGGAUUUAUCCUUGGAGAGACGGUACCUGAAGAAUAAGCACCGGCUAACUCCGUGCCAGCAGCCGCGGUAAUACGGAGGGUGCAAGCGUUAUCCGGAAUCACUGGGUUUAAAGGGUACGUAGGCGGUCUAAUAAGUCAGGUGUGAAAUACCGCGGCCUAACUGCGGAACUGCACUUGAUACUGUUAGACUUGAGUAGGGUGGAGGUACACGGAAUGCAUCAUGUAGCGGUGAAAUGCUUAGAUAUGAUGUA
This 630-nucleotide ribosomal RNA is filed under the name uncultured Bacteroidota bacterium. RNAcentral describes it as "bacterial SSU rRNA". It matches the Rfam family "Bacterial small subunit ribosomal RNA", at positions 74 to 703 of the family's 1533-position model. The record is from RNAcentral. Lineage: Bacteria; Pseudomonadati; Bacteroidota.